RNAcentral lists this ribosomal RNA (498 nucleotides) under uncultured bacterium. RNAcentral's name for it is "partial 16S ribosomal RNA". It matches the Rfam family "Bacterial small subunit ribosomal RNA", at positions 28 to 508 of the family's 1533-position model. The record is from RNAcentral.
GAUGAACGCUGGCGGCGUGCCUAAUACAUGCAAGUCGAGCGAACAGAUGAGGAGCUUGCUCCUCUGACGUUAGCGGCGGACGGGUGAGUAACACGUGGAUAACCUACCUAUAAGACUGGGAUAACUUCGGGAAACCGGAGCUAAUACCGGAUAAUAUAUUGAACCGCAUGGUUCAAUAGAGAAAGACGGUUUUGCUGUCACUUAUAGCUGGAUCCGCGCCGCAUUAGCUAGUUGGUAAGGUAACGGCUUACCAAGGCAAAGAUGCGUAGCCGACCUGAGAGGGUGAUCGGCCACAAUGGAACUGAGACACGGUCCAGACUCCUACGGGAGGCAGCAGUAGGGAAUCUUCCGCAAUGGGCGAAAGCCUUACGGAGCAACGCCGCGUGAGUGAUGAAGGUCUUCGGAUCGUAAAACUCUGUUAUUAGGGAAGAACAAAUGUGUAAGUAACUAUGCACGUCUUGACGGUACCUAAUCAGAAAGCCACGGCUAACUACGUGC